CGCGAGAUCUGCCGUAGCCGGGUCUUUCCCGCUGUGGAACCCCAUGGCCUUCACUGGUCGUGGCGGGGAAACAGGACUUUUACUUUGAAAAAAUUAGAGUGCUCCAGGCAGGCCUAUGCUCGAAUACAUUAGCAUGGAAUAAUAAAAUAGGACGCGUGGUUCUAUUUUGUUGGUUUCUAGGACCGCCGUAAUGAUUAAUAGGGACAGUCGGGGGCAUCAGUAUUCAAUUGUCAGAGGUGAAAUUCUUGGAUCUAUUGAAGACUAACUACUGCGAAAGCAUUUGCCAAGGAUGUUUUCAUUGAUAAGGAACGAAAGUUAGGGGAUCGAAGACGAUCAGAUACCGUCGUAGUCUUAACUAUAAACUAUGCCGACUAGGGAUCGGACGAUGUUAUUUUUUGACUCGUUCGGCACCUUUCGAGAAAUCAAAGUGCUUGGGCUCCAGGGGGAGUAUGGUCGCAAGGCUGAAACUUAAAGAAAUUGACGGAAAGGGCACCACCAGGGGUAAACGCUAGUUGUUUCGAUAUAACAUCAGGAUCUGCUCCUAAAAGCCGCCCGAAAGGGUGAAGUGGUCGUCCCGGCUCAGCGCCAAAUUUAAAGGCUAGUCUCCCCUCUCCGGGGGGGAGGCGACACCCUCAAAUUGCGGGGAACUCCUAAAGCUUCUGCUCCAAAGCCAGCCGGCGAAAGCUGCUGGUGGCCAGGUUAAUAGCCUCGGGUACUGGAAAAACGCAGGAGAUGCAACAAUGGACAAUCCGCAGCCAAGCCCCUACGUGCUCGGCGCCUGGAAGACGGCGUUCCCGACCGGCAUCGCCCGGGAGGGAACGUGUACUGACGGGCAAAUCGCAGCAGCAUACGGGGAAGGUUCAGAGACUUGACGGGGGUGGGUAGGCGUCCAGAUCCCAAGCAGUGGGAUUCUUUCCAUCAUCAUGCCUGCUUAAGAUAAAGUCCGGCCUCAUACGAAAGUAUCAGGGUAAAAUGGGAACCUGCGGCUUAAUUUGACUCAACACGGGGAAACUCACCAGGUCCAGACACAGUGAGGAUUGACAGAUUGAUAGCUCUUUCUUGAUUCUGUGGG
This 1072-nucleotide ribosomal RNA is filed under the name uncultured eukaryote. RNAcentral's name for it is "bacterial SSU rRNA". It matches the Rfam family "Eukaryotic small subunit ribosomal RNA", at positions 671 to 1274 of the family's 1831-position model. The record is from RNAcentral.